CAUUGAUUAUUAGCAUGUACUGCAUUUGUCUACAUAUGCAUGCAUUAGUUAUAGAUUAGAUAUAUUAUGUAGUUUUUGUUUUCUACCAUAAGUUAAAAAUUACACCGAAAUCAUCAUUUCUGUUUCCGAAAAGAAUACUAAACAAAGACCCACACAAGUCCAAGUCUGAACUAAAGUUAAACACAUGUCAUUAAGUAUAUUAUUACUAAACUAAGCAUGUUACUUAUUAAUGACACGGCGUUU
RNAcentral lists this long non-coding RNA (243 nucleotides) under Brassica napus (rape). RNAcentral's name for it is "long non-coding RNA (BNAP_LNC003313)". The record is from RNAcentral. Lineage: Eukaryota; Viridiplantae; Streptophyta; Magnoliopsida; Brassicales; Brassicaceae.